AGCGUACACGGUGGAUGCCCUGGCAGUCAGAGGCGAUGAAGGACGUGCUAAUCUGCGAUAAGCGUCGGUAAGGUGAUAUGAACCGUUAUAACCGGCGAUUUCCGAAUGGGGAAACCCAGUGUGUUUCGACACACUAUCAUUAACUGAAUCCAUAGGUUAAUGAGGCGAACCGGGGGAACUGAAACAUCUAAGUACCCCGAGGAAAAGAAAUCAACCGAGAUUCCCCCAGUAGCGGCGAGCGAACGGGGAGCAGCCCAGAGCCUGAAUCAGUGUGUGUGUUAGUGGAAGCGUCUGGAAAGGCGCGCGAUACAGGGUGACAGCCCCGUACACAAAAAUGCACAUACUGUGAGCUCGAUGAGUAGGGCGGGACACGUGGUAUCCUGUCUGAAUAUGGGGGGACCAUCCUCCAAGGCUAAAUACUCCUGACUGACCGAUAGUGAACCAGUACCGUGAGGGAAAGGCGAAAAGAACCCCGGCGAGGGGAGUGAAAAAGAACCUGAAACCGUGUACGUACAAGCAGUGGGAGCCUCUUUAUGGGGUGACUGCGUACCUUUUGUAUAAUGGGUCAGCGACUUAUAUUCUGUAGCAAGGUUAACCGAAUAGGGGAGCCGAAGGGAAACCGAGUCUUAACUGGGCGUUAAGUUGCAGGGUAUAGACCCGAAACCCGGUGAUCUAGCCAUGGGCAGGUUGAAGGUUGGGUAACACUAACUGGAGGACCGAACCGACUAAUGUUGAAAAAUUAGCGGAUGACUUGUGGCUGGGGGUGAAAGGCCAAUCAAACCGGGAGAUAGCUGGUUCUCCCCGAAAGCUAUUUAGGUAGCGCCUCGUGAAUUCAUCUCCGGGGGUAGAGCACUGUUUCGGCAAGGGGGUCAUCCCGACUUACCAACCCGAUGCAAACUGCGAAUACCGGAGAAUGUUAUCACGGGAGACACACGGCGGGUGCUAACGUCCGUCGUGAAGAGGGAAACAACCCAGACCGCCAGCUAAGGUCCCAAAGUCAUGGUUAAGUGGGAAACGAUGUGGGAAGGCCCAGACAGCCAGGAUGUUGGCUUAGAAGCAGCCAUCAUUUAAAGAAAGCGUAAUAGCUCACUGGUCGAGUCGGCCUGCGCGGAAGAUGUAACGGGGCUAAACCAUGCACCGAAGCUGCGGCAGCGACACUAUGUGUUGUUGGGUAGGGGAGCGUUCUGUAAGCCUGUGAAGGUGUACUGUGAGGUAUGCUGGAGGUAUCAGAAGUGCGAAUGCUGACAUAAGUAACGAUAAAGCGGGUGAAAAGCCCGCUCGCCGGAAGACCAAGGGUUCCUGUCCAACGUUAAUCGGGGCAGGGUGAGUCGACCCCUAAGGCGAGGCCGAAAGGCGUAGUCGAUGGGAAACAGGUUAAUAUUCCUGUACUUGGUGUUACUGCGAAGGGGGGACGGAGAAGGCUAUGUUGGCCGGGCGACGGUUGUCCCGGUUUAAGCGUGUAGGCUGGUUUUCCAGGCAAAUCCGGAAAAUCAAGGCUGAGGCGUGAUGACGAGGCACUACGGUGCUGAAGCAACAAAUGCCCUGCUUCCAGGAAAAGCCUCUAAGCAUCAGGUAACAUCAAAUCGUACCCCAAACCGACACAGGUGGUCAGGUAGAGAAUACCAAGGCGCUUGAGAGAACUCGGGUGAAGGAACUAGGCAAAAUGGUGCCGUAACUUCGGGAGAAGGCACGCUGAUAUGUAGGUGAAGUCCCUCGCGGAUGGAGCUGAAAUCAGUCGAAGAUACCAGCUGGCUGCAACUGUUUAUUAAAAACACAGCACUGUGCAAACACGAAAGUGGACGUAUACGGUGUGACGCCUGCCCGGUGCCGGAAGGUUAAUUGAUGGGGUUAGCGCAAGCGAAGCUCUUGAUCGAAGCCCCGGUAAACGGCGGCCGUAACUAUAACGGUCCUAAGGUAGCGAAAUUCCUUGUCGGGUAAGUUCCGACCUGCACGAAUGGCGUAAUGAUGGCCAGGCUGUCUCCACCCGAGACUCAGUGAAAUUGAACUCGCUGUGAAGAUGCAGUGUACCCGCGGCAAGACGGAAAGACCCCGUGAACCUUUACUAUAGCUUGACACUGAACAUUGAGCCUUGAUGUGUAGGAUAGGUGGGAGGCUUAGAAGUGUGGACGCCAGUCUGCAUGGAGCCGACCUUGAAAUACCACCCUUUAAUGUUUGAUGUUCUAACGUUGACCCGUGAUCCGGGUUGCGGACAGUGUCUGGUGGGUAGUUUGACUGGGGCGGUCUCCUCCUAAAGAGUAACGGAGGAGCACGAAGGUUGGCUAAUCCUGGUCGGACAUCAGGAGGUUAGUGCAAUGGCAUAAGCCAGCUUGACUGCGAGCGUGACGGCGCGAGCAGGUGCGAAAGCAGGUCAUAGUGAUCCGGUGGUUCUGAAUGGAAGGGCCAUCGCUCAACGGAUAAAAGGUACUCCGGGGAUAACAGGCUGAUACCGCCCAAGAGUUCAUAUCGACGGCGGUGUUUGGCACCUCGAUGUCGGCUCAUCACAUCCUGGGGCUGAAGUAGGUCCCAAGGGUAUGGCUGUUCGCCAUUUAAAGUGGUACGCGAGCUGGGUUUAGAACGUCGUGAGACAGUUCGGUCCCUAUCUGCCGUGGGCGCUGGAGAACUGAGGGGGGCUGCUCCUAGUACGAGAGGACCGGAGUGGACGCAUCACUGGUGUUCGGGUUGUCAUGCCAAUGGCACUGCCCGGUAGCUAAAUGCGGAAGAGAUAAGUGCUGAAAGCAUCUAAGCACGAAACUUGCCCCGAGAUGAGUUCU
RNAcentral lists this ribosomal RNA (2771 nucleotides) under Escherichia coli. Its description in RNAcentral is "bacterial LSU rRNA". It matches the Rfam family "Bacterial large subunit ribosomal RNA". Lineage: Bacteria; Pseudomonadati; Pseudomonadota; Gammaproteobacteria; Enterobacterales; Enterobacteriaceae. The record is from RNAcentral.